AAGUCGUAACAAGGUUUCCGUAGGUGAACCUGCGGAAGGAUCAUUAAUGAAACUUCAAAGUCGGCUUGGUCGUCUGUGCUGGUGGAGACACAUGUGCACGUCGGCAAAGUCGCAAACCCACACACCUGUGCAUCUAUGACUCUGAGUACCGCUUUGCAUGGGCUGUCAAACGCCCUGGUACUCGAGUAACCUUCACACACUCUGAAUGUAAUGGAAUGUCUAUUGUACAAUGUACAACCAAAAACAACUUUCAACAACGGAUCUCUUGGCUCUCGCAUCGAUGAAGAACGCAGCGAAAUGCGAUAAGUAAUGUGAAUUGCAGAAUUCAGUGGAUCAUCGAAUCUUUGAACGCACCUUGCACCCUUUGGUAUUCCGAAGGGUACACCCGUUUGAGUGUCAUUGUAAUCUCACUACAACCGCUUUUUUGUUGUUGUAUGUGGACUUGGAUGUUGCCGUGUAACACACGGCUCAUCUGAAAUGCCUGAGUGUACCCUGCUUUGCGGCGUAUUCGGUGUGAUAAAUCUUCACCGGAGUUGACCCUCAGGUCACGUCUGCUUGACAUGGCUCUAUGCUUCCAACCGUCCUGCAAGACAAUUUUUGACAAUUUGACCUCAAAUCGGGUGGGACUACCCGCUGAACUUAA
This 643-nucleotide ribosomal RNA is filed under the name uncultured fungus. RNAcentral describes it as "eukaryotic LSU rRNA". The stretch from base 246 to 399 matches the Rfam family "5.8S ribosomal RNA". The record is from RNAcentral. Lineage: Eukaryota; Fungi.